UGCUAUUGGAAUUUAGGAUAUCAGUUUGUAGAGCCAUCUAAUUUCUGAAACUAUUUUUUCAAGCAGAAAUUAAUUUCACAAUGAAGAUGGACGCAUGCACAGCUCUUUCACUUUCUUAAUCGUCAACGAUAACUAUCUCUGGUUUCUGAAUGAAUGAGAAACCAACUGUUAUCCAAGUUCCUGGACAGGCAUAGAUUUUGCAGAUCUUUUCAGUGUGUUGUAUUUGUUGUUAUCUCUGUGGAAAAAAAAACAUUUAUUUGUCUAUUGUCACCUUUUUUUGUCUCAUAUUCUUCUUUAAUUUUCAUAUGGUAUAACAGGAUUUUAAGCCGAGAUCAAUUCAAUUCCCUGUGUCAAAUGAUCCUUCUACUGGAAACGGAGAGCAGCAUGACCUUAGGACAAGCAAAAAACAAAUAUGGGUACCAAUUUUGAAAAU
Molecule: long non-coding RNA, 433 nt
Filed under: Elaeis guineensis (African oil palm)
Lineage: Eukaryota; Viridiplantae; Streptophyta; Magnoliopsida; Arecales; Arecaceae
Description: long non-coding RNA (EGUI_LNC014058)
Source: RNAcentral